This 467-nucleotide ribosomal RNA is filed under the name uncultured bacterium. RNAcentral's name for it is "partial 16S ribosomal RNA". It matches the Rfam family "Bacterial small subunit ribosomal RNA", at positions 28 to 507 of the family's 1533-position model. The record is from RNAcentral.
GACGAACGCUGGCGGCGUGCUUAACACAUGCAAGUCGAACGGAAAGGCCCCAGCUUGCUGUCGUACUCGAGUGGCGAACGGGUGAGUAACACGUGGGUAAUCUGCCCUGCACUCUGGGAUAAGCCUGGGAAACUGGGUCUAAUACUGGAUAUGACCUUUCUCCUUAUGGUGUUUGGUGGAAAGUUUUUCGGUUUAGGAUGAGCCCGCGGCCUAUUCGCCUGUUGGUGGGGUGAUGGCCUACCAAGGCGACGGCGGGUAGCCGGCCUGAGAGGGUGAGCGGCCACAUGGGGACUGAGAUACGGCCCAGACUCCUACGGGAGGCAGCAGUGGGGAAUAUUGCACAAUGGGCGGAAGCCUGAUGCAGCGACGCCGCGUGAGGGAUGACGGCCUUCGGGUUGUAAACCUCUUUCAGCAGGGACGAAGCGUAAGUGACGGUACCUGCAGAAGAAGCACCGGCUAACUAUGUG